This 617-nucleotide long non-coding RNA is filed under the name Hordeum vulgare. RNAcentral's name for it is "long non-coding RNA (HVUL_LNC013652)". The record is from RNAcentral. Lineage: Eukaryota; Viridiplantae; Streptophyta; Magnoliopsida; Poales; Poaceae.
AUUCGGGGAGAUUAAGUUGCAUUUCAUCAUAUUAUCCUUUCACAUAUAGUGAUGUGGGUAUGGAAAACGAAGGACGACAUAAUUCAUGGUUGAUUUCUUGGCAAUGUUCUGACUUAUGAGUUAUGAGUUGAGUGCUUCGGGUAUCCACAGGUCUUAUGAAGGCUGAAGUGUUAACUUUGAGUAAUUUGUAAUGAUGGUUUCUGAAACUGUCAUUUUAGUGUCAGCUUCUCUAGUAUUUUUUGUGUAAGCUAGGUCCUGAACUAUAAGGCUUGUGGUUGGGGGUGAUCUAGGGCCAAGAAGCUCAUUUUAUUUGAAAGAAAAAAUGAAGUACGACUGUAGCAAUAUUAGCAUGCUAGGCAAAUGACGCAAUGUUCACCAGCUACUUGCAAAAAAAAGGAAAAAGGUCUCCAGCCUCUGCAUUAUUAUUUUUUAAAGCAGGUACUCAACUCAGCAAGUCUUUCCAAAUAAUAAAAACUAUGUUUUCACUAUCCAGCUGAGGGCCAGUUCUUUUCAGGCUUAUGGCUGGGGGGGGGAAACUAUCCAGCUGAGGGCCAGUUCUUUUCAGGCUUAUGGCUGGCUGUGGAAAUAAACUGCCCCUUCCCCGGCCUAUUCUAGAA